Molecule: long non-coding RNA, 367 nt
Organism: Aplysia californica (California sea hare)
Lineage: Eukaryota; Metazoa; Mollusca; Gastropoda; Aplysiida; Aplysiidae
Exons: 2
Source: RefSeq, a predicted model, not a curated record
UGUGAGGUCGGCAACAGGUCUGUAUAUUUACUAUCGGGUGUGAGGUCGGCAACAGGUCUGUAUAUUUACUAUCGGGUGUGAGGUCGGUUUGGGGGAACUUUUCUGUGGUUUGUCUUUCUAUAUUUGUGUUUGUUGUACAUUACGGCUGUUGUCGGGAGGAAUCUGCAUGUGCUUUUGAAAAUUGUUGGCAAUGUGCCUCGGCAGGUAUUUCAUGUACUCUGUGGGGAUGUACUUAGUUAACCCUUUCGCACUUAGCAGGCGUGGCCAGCUGUGGCCCCCAGUCCUUCAGACAAGGGCAAACACUCCAUGAAAAUUGAAGGGGUACCUAACUAAAAAAAUUGUAUAAAAUCACAAACACAACCAAAAA